Molecule: transfer RNA, 88 nt
Filed under: Streptomyces abikoensis
Lineage: Bacteria; Bacillati; Actinomycetota; Actinomycetes; Kitasatosporales; Streptomycetaceae
Description: tRNA-Pro
Source: RNAcentral
CGCCCCCUGGACGGGGAUGUGGCGGCCCUCCGGACGGGCCCCGGGCGGUGGUCCCGGGAGCGGUGGAUCAGUGGCCGCCGGGGGCCCC